GACGAACGCUGGCGGCGUGCUUAACACAUGCAAGUCGAGCGGUAAGGCCCUUUCGGGGGUACGACGAGCGGCGAACGGGUGAGUAACACGUGGGUGACCUGCCCUCAGCUCUGGGAUAAGCCUGGGAAACUGGGUCUAAUACUGGAUAUGACUCCACGGUGCAUGUCGUGGGGUGGAAAGCCUUGUGCGGCUGAGGAUGGGCCCGCGGCCUACCAGCUUGUUGGUGGGGUGAUGGCCUACCAAGGCGACGACGGGUAGCCGGCCUGAGAGGGCGACCGGCCACACUGGGACUGAGACACGGCCCAGACUCCUACGGGAGGCAGCAGGUGGGGAAUCUUGCGCAAUGGGCGAAAGCCUGACGCAGCGACGCCGCGUGAGGGAUGACGGCCU
Molecule: ribosomal RNA, 390 nt
Filed under: uncultured bacterium
Lineage: Bacteria
Description: bacterial SSU rRNA
Rfam family: Bacterial small subunit ribosomal RNA
Source: RNAcentral